This 84-nucleotide transfer RNA is filed under the name Flavobacteriaceae bacterium. RNAcentral describes it as "tRNA-Leu". It matches the Rfam family "tRNA". Rfam says of the family: Transfer RNA (tRNA) molecules are approximately 80 nucleotides in length. Their secondary structure includes four short double-helical elements and three loops (D, anti-codon, and T loops). RNAcentral also lists the same sequence under 3 other names. Lineage: Bacteria; Pseudomonadati; Bacteroidota; Flavobacteriia; Flavobacteriales; Flavobacteriaceae. The record is from RNAcentral.
GCCAAAGUGGUGGAAUUGGUAGACACGUUGGAUUCAAAAUCCAAUGCCUGCAAGGGCGUGUGGGUUCGAGUCCCACCUUUGGUA